This 69-nucleotide transfer RNA is filed under the name Rattus norvegicus (Norway rat). It matches the Rfam family "tRNA". Rfam says of the family: Transfer RNA (tRNA) molecules are approximately 80 nucleotides in length. Their secondary structure includes four short double-helical elements and three loops (D, anti-codon, and T loops). Further hydrogen bonds mediate the characteristic L-shaped molecular structure. tRNAs have two regions of fundamental functional importance: the anti-codon, which is responsible for specific mRNA codon recognition, and the 3' end, to which the tRNAs corresponding amino acid is attached (by aminoacyl-tRNA synthetases). tRNAs cope with the degeneracy of the genetic code in two manners: having more than one tRNA (with a specific anti-codon) for a particular amino acid; and 'wobble' base-pairing, i.e. permitting non-standard base-pairing at the 3rd anti-codon position. The record is from Rfam by way of RNAcentral. Lineage: Eukaryota; Metazoa; Chordata; Mammalia; Rodentia; Muridae.
GGAGAUUUAGCUCAGUGGCAGAGCACUUGCCUAGCAAGCACAAGGCCCUGGGUUCUAUCCUCAGCUCCG